RNAcentral lists this ribosomal RNA (729 nucleotides) under uncultured bacterium. RNAcentral's name for it is "bacterial SSU rRNA". It matches the Rfam family "Bacterial small subunit ribosomal RNA", at positions 668 to 1395 of the family's 1533-position model. The record is from RNAcentral.
UCCUAGUGUAGCGGUGAAAUGCGUAGAUAUUAGGAGGAACACCAGUGGCGAAGGCGACUCUCUGGACUGUAACUGACGCUGAGACACGAAAGCGUGGGGAGCGAACAGGAUUAGAUACCCUGGUAGUCCACGCCGUAAACGAUGAGUACUAGGUGUUGGAGUCGACAGGCUUCAGUGCCGCCGCUAACGCAUUAAGCACUCCGCCUGGGGAGUACGGUCGCAAGACUGAAACUCAAAGGAAUUGACGGGGGCCCGCACAAGCAGCGGAGCAUGUGGUUUAAUUCGACGCAACGCGAAGAACCUUACCAGGUCUUGACAUCCCUCAGACCGUACUGGAGACAGUAUUUUCCCUUCGGGGACUGAGGUGACAGGUGGUGCAUGGUUGUCGUCAGCUCGUGUCGUGAGAUGUUGGGUUAAGUCCCGCAACGAGCGCAACCCUUGCCUUUAGUUGCCAGCAGGUAAUGCUGGGCACUCUAGAGGGACUGCCGGUGACAAACCGGAGGAAGGUGGGGAUGACGUCAAAUCAUCAUGCCCCUUAUGAUCUGGGCUACACACGUGCUACAAUGGUCGGUACAAUGGGCAGCCAACCCGCGAGGGGGAGCGAAUCCCAAUAAGCCGAUCCCAGUUCGGAUUGUAGGCUGCAACUCGCCUACAUGAAGUUGGAGUUGCUAGUAAUCGCGAAUCAGAAUGUCGCGGUGAAUGCGUUCCCGGGCCUUGUACACACCGCCC